RNAcentral lists this ribosomal RNA (440 nucleotides) under uncultured bacterium. RNAcentral's name for it is "partial 16S ribosomal RNA". It matches the Rfam family "Bacterial small subunit ribosomal RNA", at positions 338 to 795 of the family's 1533-position model. The record is from RNAcentral.
CCUACGGGUGGCAGCAGUGGGGAAUAUUGCACAAUGGAGGGAACUCUGAUGCAGCGACGCCGCGUGAGUGAAGAAGUAAUGCGUUAUGUAAAGCUCUAUCAGCAGGGAAGAAAGUGACGGUACCUGAAAAAGAAGCUCCGGCUAAAUACGUGCCAGCAGCCGCGGUAAUACGUAUGGAGCAAGCGUUAUCCGGAUUUACUGGGGGUAAAGGGAGAGUAGGUGGCAGAGCAAGUCCGAAGUGAAAACCCAAAGCUCAACUAUGGGAAUGCUUUAGAAACUGCUCAGCUAGAGUGCAGGAGAGGCAAGUGGAAUUCUUAGUGUAGCGGUGAAAUGCUUAGAUAUCACGAAGAACUCCGAUUGCGAAGGCAGCUCACUGGACUGCAACUGACACUGAUGCUCGAAAGUGUGGGUAUCAAACAGGAUUAGAUACCCUUGUAGUC